RNAcentral lists this ribosomal RNA (253 nucleotides) under uncultured bacterium. RNAcentral's name for it is "partial 16S ribosomal RNA". It matches the Rfam family "Bacterial small subunit ribosomal RNA", at positions 524 to 776 of the family's 1533-position model. The record is from RNAcentral.
UACGGGGGGUGCGAGCGUUGUCCGGAAUUACUGGGCGUAAAGGGCGCGUAGGCGGCACUGUUAGUCAGGCGUGAAAGUCCUGGGCUCAACCUGGGAACUGCGCUUGAUACGGCAGAGCUAGAGGAUGGAAGAGGGUCGCGGAAUUCCCAGUGUAGAGGUGAAAUUCGUAGAUAUUGGGAAGAACACCGGUGGCGAAGGCGGCGACCUGGUCCAUUACUGACGCUGAGGCGCGACAGCGUGGGGAGCAAACAGG